GGUCGGUUAGCUCAGUUGGUUAGAGCGUCGUACUAAUACAAUUCAGGUUGUAUCAAGUAAUGCGAAGGUCAUGAGUUCGACCCUCAUACUGACCA
Molecule: non-coding RNA, 95 nt
Organism: Xylariaceae sp. FL0662B
Lineage: Eukaryota; Fungi; Ascomycota; Sordariomycetes; Xylariales; Xylariaceae
Source: the annotation of a GenBank genome assembly